RNAcentral lists this long non-coding RNA (306 nucleotides) under Dasypus novemcinctus (nine-banded armadillo). RNAcentral describes it as "lncRNA (ENSDNOG00000052105.1)". Lineage: Eukaryota; Metazoa; Chordata; Mammalia; Cingulata; Dasypodidae. The record is from RNAcentral.
UGCAAGACCUUCAGCUACAGGGAUUGGCACGGUCCAUUUGGGGAUGGGGGUGGGUGGGGAGACAGGGGGUGGAAGGAUCCAUUGGUGACUGCGAGGAGGCGAAGAAGGCACUGUUUACAGGGCACUUGCAUCGAAGACUCCUGGAUUGCACCACUAGGAGGCCUACGAAAGGAAUCACAGCCUUCACCGGUACUGCAGCUGCAUCCUUAUACUUAGCCAUCAACCUCUCCAAAGAAGUAAGAGCAUUAAGAAACUAAAAACAAAGCCAAUAACCUCAUAAUACAGGUAAAUAAUUUCUCCUCCUGA